Molecule: ribosomal RNA, 496 nt
Filed under: uncultured bacterium
Lineage: Bacteria
Description: partial 16S ribosomal RNA
Rfam family: Bacterial small subunit ribosomal RNA
Source: RNAcentral
GAUGAACGCUAGCGGCAGGCCUAACACAUGCAAGUCGAGGGGUAUAGUUUCUUCGGAGACUAGAGACCGGCGCACGGGUGCGUAACGCGUAUGCAAUCUACCUUGUACAGAGGGAUAGCCCAGAGAAAUUUGGAUUAAUAACUCAUAGUAUUUUAAAGUGGCAUCAUUUAAUAAUUAAAGUUACAACGGUACAAGAUGAGCAUGCUGCCCAUUAGCUAGUUGGUAUGGUAACGGCAUACCAAGGCAAUGAUGGGUAGGGGUCCUGAGAGGGAGAUCCCCCACACUGGUACUGAGACACGGACCAGACUCCUACGGGAGGCAGCAGUGAGGAAUAUUGGACAAUGGGCGCAAGCCUGAUCCAGCCACGCCGCGUGCAGGAAGACGGUCCUAUGGAUUGUAAACUGCUUUUAUACAGGAAGAAACACCCUUACGAGUAGGGGCUUGACGGUACUGUAGGAAUAAGGAUCGGCUAACUCCGUGCCAGCCGCCGCAGUAA